GGGAAUGAAUUUAGAAAUCUGCCGUUUCUCAAAAUUAUAAAUUUAUCUAAUAAUCGUAUAAAAUUAUUAAAAUUGUAUUUUAACACGUUUAAUAACGUGCGCGUUAUUUUACUACAUCACAACGAAAUCGAGGUUAUAAAUAAAGAAAGUUUUCAAGAAAUUCGGUAUGUGAACACCUUAGAUUUGAGUUAUAACAAAAUUAAAAAGAUCGCGUCACGAUCAUUACUAUCAUUUAACAAUUUGGAAAAUUUGAAUAUUUCAUUUAAUAAGCUGCGUAGCUUAAGCUCCGAUCAAAUUAGAAGCUCUAUUAAUUUAUAUUCACUGAAUGCUUCUUACAACGAGAUAGAAAUACUCAAUAUUACCGAUUUCUUUUCCUCACUUUCCGUAAAAUAUUUUGAUAUUUCGAAUAAUUAUAUAUGUACUUUGUUAUCAUCUAUUUUCAAUCAAUUCUCAUACGUCUAUAUACAAAACAAUUACUUAAGUUGUGAAAAAGAAACAGAAAUCAAAAAGGAUUUACAUAUAAAAGAUGACAAUUUUUUCGGUAGCACCAGCUGUAAACAAUAUAAUAAAAAUAGAACAUUCAUCGAUAAAGAAACUAAAUGUAAGUUGAAUGGAAAUGAAGGUAACGAAGUAAUUGUAACCGUGAUCACCGUUAUAAUUAGCGCACCUCUAAUAAUCAUUUUAUUGUAUUGUGGUUUCGUUAAAAAACGAACUUUAUGUCGUAAUACUUAUUUCGAAGACCCAGGCGUCUAUGGUGAUCAAUGGAAGUCCCCUACCAAUGCCGAUAGAGCCUUAGACAUCAUCGAUUCUGUUGUACACGCACUUACUUCGUCGUCCGAUGCAGAUAAUGAUAAUUACAGUGGAGAGAAUCAAUGACAAUUUAAUUUUGGAUUUGAAAAUAUUCUCAACAAAUCUACCUUCGUUAUUGGCAUAGUAUGUCACCUUGGGUAUUAGUACCGGUUUUUUUUGUAUUAGGUGUCUGCCUCAUUGUUAUAAUAUAUGCAAUAUGCAUGGGUUGCUCAGGAUACAAACCAUUCCAAUCUAAAGAGAAUCAAACCCACCAACAAGACACUAAACCUUCCAGUAAUGAACGUCCUUCAUAUUAUCAUGAAGAUAAUGAAUAUAAUCACCAUUUCGAACGUCAUAGCAGUAAUAGUGAUGAUGCAGAAUCAGUACGUCUUAACGACGAUGUUAGUAAGAAACACGACGAUACCGAGCAUACUGUUUCCACAGAUGUAGCUGUAAAUAUCGCAAGCGGCUUUACAGAACUUACAUCGUUUGCAGGUGGAAACACCGGUGGGGAUAGUCAUGUCAGUUUUUCGCAUCAUUCUACCGAAGUUGGUAAUGAAUCGUCGCAUAUUUCGACUCCAGGAGAUACCUUUGGAGGUUCUACAUAUGAUUCUGGUGGUGGUGGUACCAGCAACGACGCUGGGGGAAGUAGCUAUAUCGAGUAAACUAAAUUUACAGUUUAUUAUCAAUUUUGAGUUAGGAUUAUUUAUUACAUAUGUAAAAUGCAUAAUCAAAUAUUAUAACUCACUCAGUAUAAAAAUCUAUCUAUAAUAUGGAAUAUGAUUUGAUGUAUUUCAUAUUACUUGGAGACUUACGUAUCAUAUAUACGAUAAAAAUUAACUCAACCUAACCCAACUUAACCUAACUUUUCUCUGCUAGUAAUGCACGCAUCAAAAUUAUUCAAAUACUCAUAACAAGAAGCAUUUCUAGAAGACUUCUUUCGGAAUGGUACCUAUUUGCUUUGUUGUAGGUGACUAAAUGGCAGAAAUGAUUCUCUUUUGGCACAUUUUUAAUUUGUGGUUAGAGGCUGCUAAACCGUCCUCCCCAAAUAAAAUAGUGAAAAAGUCGCCUUAUCCGCGGCUAAUCCAGAUAAUAAAUGGAAACCAAGGAAUCUGACAGUUCACCUUAGAGUCAUUAACGUAUAAAUAGUAACAAACCAAGAGGCAAAACAAUUAGCAUAAAGGACACAGACAUCCUAUUUGAAAUGGAAAUCAAUGACCGUCAAUCAUGGGCCAAAAAAGAUCUUCUGCAAGCUUGAAAUGCAUCUUUAUGGUAUACAGAUGGUUCGCAGCUGGCGCAAGAAGCUAGGUAGAGGUACUAGCAAUACGUAGAUACUCAGGAGUGUUUAGAUAGAAAUCUCUUCAGAAAGCACAUUCUCUCCGAUGUCCAAGCGGUCUUGAAAGUCCUGAAAUAAACAAAGUAACCCUAAUAUGGCUCUGGUUGCCAAAAAGGAGCAACGACUCCAAAUGACUCUUACCGGAGGAACAUUCCUUGCCUCAGACAAUCCAAAAUAGUCAUAACCAUAUCAGAUAAGAAGACUGAAAAGACUGCAAAUGUCCUGUACAUUGCAUCUAUUGCCUUGAGAAGAGAUAUAUAAGAUUCCCAGAAAAUAGCCUCUUUUGGAAGGAGCCUGUGUAUUUUGUAAGCAGAGCAAUGAGAUACAGAAUCCCGUAUAAAAUAUCUUUUAGGUAUAGGUGCAUAGUGGCUGAAAAGCUCAAUCUACAAUCUACAACGCGAAUUUGAAUAGUCAAGAUUUUUGGUGGGCUAAAGCCGUUGGUCCAUUCUUAGGUCCCUUUCCUACGCUCUAAACGUUCACUCAUUUUUUGUACAUUAAAAACUGUUUUUGAGGUCGAUGGACGUCCUAACAGGUCUUUGCCAUUGAUUCAUUUUUAGACAAAAAUUGUAGUUAUAAACAGGUUUUAAAGUUACAAGCCGGAACAGGCUCAAACUAUACUAAACUGCUAUAAAAUUUUUGUCACUGUAUUUCUUCGUCACACCUCGUAUGUUAAAGUUAUAUCGUAAACUGUAACUGGUCGGAAUAUAAGUUUCAGCCAAUAUUUGAAAAGAAUUGAUGUUUAGAUAUCAGCGGCUAACGAGCUAGAAACGUUCUGUAUAUAACUCGUUAUUCUAUUUGCUUUUCCUGAUAAAAAUUUCCUAUCUCUUGUAUACGUUUAAUGUAUAUGUUUACUUUUCAAAUAUUCUCUUUUCUUCCUUGAAAUAGAACAUAAAUACAUAUUUAAUGGAUUUUAUACACAGUGGGUAACAGAAAACAGUCUAGAUGAUUUACAAUAUUUUAUUGUUAAGGGUACAAAUCUUUGCAAUACAAAUAUCUGUAAUUUGUAGUACUUUUACAUCAAAUACUUAUAGUAACUGAUAGUGAAUAUAUGUAGGCAGAGUUUACUAAUAAAUCAAAGCUAAAAUAUUUCAAACUAUAUAUUUUAAUUCAUAAAUGAAAAUGUUUGAAUAGAAAUCCUGUAAAAUGUGCCUUUUAGAACACGUUCAAUCUAGUUAGGACUGGUUUAUGUAUAGAACAAAUCCGAACCAAUUAAAUAAUUUGUGUUUGUAUAUUUUUAACUACUUUGUUAUAUUAAAUUCAAACCAUGAACAUUUUGUUUUUUAUUUAUUGCGGAUACUUAAUUUCCUUGGAAGCUUUCAAAUCAACUUAUAUUAGUACUUUAUAUUUAUAAAAGGUACAUUUAUAAUAAAUAAUAAAUAAAUCGUGCAUAAUAAAUUUCGAUCUACCCUCGUAUACCCGAAUUCUCAAAUAUCAGAUAUUUAAAAUUCAUUUACGAAACUCGUAACAUAACCAAACAAACCAAGAGGUCAGUUCUGUUUUCAACAAGUAAUACGACAGACGAUUUGUUCCCGCAUGUCUAUAAAUAUAAGAAUUACAAUAGGCUUUUACUGAAAAAAUGUGAUAUACAUAUUUUAUCAAUUAAGAAGCUGAAAUGGAUGAAGUCACGUCGAUAUUUAUUAUUCUCUUCAUCCUAAUGGUUAUUAUUAUAAUAAUAAUUGAGGUAUGUAAAGCCAAUAGACAAUCUACAUACCAACACACUUACAGCAUCCCCGUGCGUCAACAACCCGCAAAAUUUGUACCACAAUAUAGAGUUUACACACCUUUCAACACCAUGUAUGCAAGAAACCAAAACACAACUGUCCAUCAUGUUCAUCAUGUCGUGGAUGAUUCUGAUCAAAUGUCUGCCAUCGACUAUACAUUGUCUGUUCCAGAUGAUACCGAUGAUACCGUUGCAUGUGAUACUGGUACUGGUACUGGUAUAGCUGGUACUGUGGCAGACAUGUUUAUGUCUUCACACAACAACGAAAGUUCCGCAUUUGAUUAUAGUACAAAUGAUGACGGUGGUACUUACGAUUACAAUGGAGGAGACAGUAAUGAAGAUUAUUCUUCUGGUAUUGCAAGUGGCGUUGUUGCGAGUCUUCCUAGCGCCGUUGAGAAUAUGUUUUCUUCUACCAAUAAUGAGGAAUCUUAUGCAUAUGACAGCGGGAACAAUACUUAUGAUGGUGGAAAUAAUGAGACGACGUAUGAUGAAUGUAUUGAGGAUACGACGACAUAUGAUGACGGUGAUGGAGAAGUUAUUGAAGAUUAAGUUGUUAAUGUUCUAUUACGUUGAAUAUGUUGCCAAAAAAUUAUACGUGCAUGUGGCGAAAUAUAUUUAAAGAUAAAAUUUUGUAGUUUUUUAUAUAGUAUGAAUACAAUUAUAUAAAUAUAUGAAAUUUCUGAAAAA
Molecule: RNA transcript, 4532 nt
Organism: Diorhabda carinulata
Lineage: Eukaryota; Metazoa; Arthropoda; Insecta; Coleoptera; Chrysomelidae
Exons: 3
Source: RefSeq, a predicted model, not a curated record